CAGGCGUUUGCUGAAAAGCCUUAAAGAGAGUAGGCA
Molecule: regulatory RNA element, 36 nt
Organism: Pedobacter nyackensis
Lineage: Bacteria; Pseudomonadati; Bacteroidota; Sphingobacteriia; Sphingobacteriales; Sphingobacteriaceae
Rfam family: DUF805b RNA
About the family: Bacteroidetes, Chlorobi (1 example), Proteobacteria. Lineage (Flavobacteria)
Source: Rfam